Molecule: unclassified non-coding RNA, 375 nt
Filed under: uncultured Pseudomonadota bacterium
Lineage: Bacteria; Pseudomonadati; Pseudomonadota
Description: uncultured proteobacterium contains 16S-23S intergenic spacer region
Source: RNAcentral
UCCGGUUUAACACCGGCAGUCCUUUCAGAGUGCCCAACUUAAUGGUGGCAACUAAAAGCAAGGGUUGCGCUCGUUGCGGGACUUAACCCAACAUCUUACGACACGAGCUGACGACAGCCAUGCAGCACCUAUCUCACUGUCCCCGAAGGGAACACCACAUCUCUGUGGCUGUCAGUGGAUGUUAAGCCCAGGUAAGGUUCUGCGCGUUGCUUCGAAUUAAACCACAUACUCCACCGCUUGUGCGGGCCCCCGUCAAUUCCUUUGAGUUUUAACCUUGCGGCCGUACUCCCCAGGCGGUCAACUUCACGCGUUAGCUUCGUUACCAAGGAAUUGCUUCCCCGACAACCAGUUGACAUAGUUUAGGGCGUGGACUAC